RNAcentral lists this unclassified non-coding RNA (352 nucleotides) under soil metagenome. Its description in RNAcentral is "partial contains 5.8S ribosomal RNA, internal transcribed spacer 2, and large subunit ribosomal RNA". The stretch from base 1 to 120 matches the Rfam family "5.8S ribosomal RNA", at positions 35 to 154 of the family's 154-position model. The record is from RNAcentral.
GAUGAAGAACGCAGCGAAAUGCGAUAAGUAAUGUGAAUUGCAGAAUUCAGUGAAUCAUCGAAUCUUUGAAAGCACAUUGCGCCCGCCAGUAUUCUGGCGGGCAUGCCUGUUCGAGCGUCAUUACAACCCUCAGGCCCCCGGGCCUGGCGUUGGGGAUCGGCGGAGCCCCCCGUGGGCACACGCCGUCCCCCAAAUGCAGUGGCGGUCCCGCCGCAGCUUCCAUCGCGUAGUAGCUAACACCUCGCGACUGGAGAGCGGCGCGGCCACGCCGUAAAACACCCAACUCUUCUGAAGUUGACCUCGAAUCAGGUAGGAAUACCCGCUGAACUUAAGCAUAUCAAUAAGCGGAGGA